CNGCAAGAGCUCAAAUUUGAAAGCUGGCCCCUUCGGGGUCCGCGUUGUAAUUUGCAGAGGAUGCUUCGGGUGCGGCCCCUGUCUAAGUGCCCUGGAACGGGCCGUCAGAGAGGGUGAGAAUCCCGUCUUGGGCAGGGUGCCCGUGCCCGUGUGAAGCUCCUUCGACGAGUCGAGUUGUUUGGGAAUGCAGCUCUAAAUGGGUGGUANNUUUCAUCUAAAGCUAAAUACCGGCCGGAGACCGAUAGCGCACUAGUAGAGUGAUCGAAAGAUGAAAAGCACUUUGAAAAGAGAGUUAAACAGCACGUGAAAUUGUUGAAAGGGAAGCGCUUGCGACCAGAGUCGGCCCCGGGGUUCAGCCAGCAUUCGUGCUGGUGUACUUCCCCGGGGGCGGGCCAGCGUCGGUUUGGGCGGCCGGUCAAAGGCCCCAGGAAUGUAUCGCCCUCCGGGGUUGUCUUAUAGCCUGGGGUGCAAUGCGGCCAGCCCGGACCGAGGAACGCGCUUCGGCACGGACGCUGGCGUAAUCGUCGCAAACGACCCGUCUUGAAACACGGACCAAGGAGUCUAACAUCUACGCGAGUGUUCGGGAGUCAAACCCGUACGCGCAGUGAAAGCGAAGGGAGGUGGGAGCCCCCCCGGGGCGCACCAUCGACCGAUCCUGAUGUCUUCGGAUGGAUUUGAGUAAGAGCGUAGCUGUGGGGACCCGAAAGAUGGUGAACUAUGCCUGAAUAGGGCGAAGCCAGAGGAACUCUGGUGGAGGCUCGCAGCGGUUCUGACGUGCAAAUCGAUCGUCAAAUUUGGGUAUAGGGGCGAAAGACUNNNC
RNAcentral lists this ribosomal RNA (820 nucleotides) under Aspergillus sp. Its description in RNAcentral is "partial large subunit ribosomal RNA". It matches the Rfam family "Eukaryotic large subunit ribosomal RNA", at positions 99 to 936 of the family's 3401-position model. The record is from RNAcentral. Lineage: Eukaryota; Fungi; Ascomycota; Eurotiomycetes; Eurotiales; Aspergillaceae.